GAUGAACGCUGGCGGCGUGCCUAAUACAUGCAAGUCGAGCGAACGGACGAGAAUCUUGCUUCUCUGAUGUUAGCGGCGGACGUGUGAGUAACACGUGUAUAACCUACCUAUAAGACUGGGAUAACUUCGGGAAACCGGAUCUAAUACCGGAUAAUAUUUUGAACCGCAUGGUUCAAAAGUGAAAGUCGGUCUUUGUGUCACUUAUCGAGGGAUCCCCGCUGCUUUGGCUAGUUGUUAAGUUAAAGGCUUACCAAGGCAACGAUGGAUUGCCGACCUGAGGGGGUGAUCGGCCACCUUGGAACUGAGACACGGUCCAGACUACUACGGGAGGCAGCAGUAGGGAAUCGUCCGCAAUGGGCGAAAGCAUGACGGAGCAACGCCGCGUGAGUGAUGAAGGUCUUCGGAUCGUAAAACUCUGUUAUUAGGGAAGAACAUAUGUGUAAGUAACUGUGCACAUCUUGACGGUACCUAAUCAGAAAGCCACGGCUAACUACGUG
Molecule: ribosomal RNA, 497 nt
Filed under: uncultured bacterium
Lineage: Bacteria
Description: partial 16S ribosomal RNA
Rfam family: Bacterial small subunit ribosomal RNA
Source: RNAcentral